GGGGGAGUAGCUCAGUGGCAGAGCAGUAGCGAGUUUCUUCUGAUUGCCGUGUGCUUUUUGUUUUCCAAGAGCGUCUACAUAUCUUACCCAGCGGUGGCUUGACGAAGUAAGCGAAAAGGUCCUGGGUUCGACUCCCAGCUCCCCCC
Non-coding RNA from Schizothecium vesticola, 146 nucleotides. The record is from the annotation of a GenBank genome assembly. NCBI's taxonomy places the organism in Eukaryota, Fungi, Ascomycota, Sordariomycetes, Sordariales, Schizotheciaceae.